CAGUCGCCGCGGUAACACGUAGGGUGCGAGCGUUAAUCGGAAUUACUGGGCGUAAAGCGUGCGCAGGCGGUUCGUUAAGACAGAUGUGAAAUCCCCGGGCUCAACCUCGGAAUUGCCUUCAAUACUGGCGAUCUUGAGUAUGGAAGAGGUAUGUGGAACUCCGAGUGUAGAGGUGAAAUUCGUAGAUAUUCGGAAGAACACCAGUGGCGAAGGCGACAUACUGGUCCAUUACUGACGCUGAGGCUCGAAAGCGUGGGGAGCAAACAGGAUUAGAUACCCCGGUAGUCCCUGUCUCUUAUAC
This 301-nucleotide ribosomal RNA is filed under the name uncultured bacterium. RNAcentral describes it as "partial 16S ribosomal RNA". It matches the Rfam family "Bacterial small subunit ribosomal RNA", at positions 509 to 807 of the family's 1533-position model. The record is from RNAcentral.